GACGAACGCUGGCGGCGUGCUUAACACAUGCAAGUCGAACGGAAAGGCCCUGCUUUUGUGGGGUGCUCGAGUGGCGAACGGGUGAGUAACACGUGAGUAACCUGCCCUUGACUUUGGGAUAACUUCAGGAAACUGGGGCUAAUACCGGAUAGGAGCUCCUGCUGCAUGGUGGGGUUUGGAAAGUUUCGGCGGUUGGGGAUGGACUCGCGGCUUAUCAGCUUGUUGGUGGGGUAGUGGCUUACCAAGGCUUUGACGGGUAGCCGGCCUGAGAGGGUGACAGGCCACAUUGGGACUGAGAUACGGCACAGACUCCUACGGGAGGCAGCAGUGGGGAAUAUUGCACAAUGGGCGGAAGCCUGAUGCAGCAACGCCGCGUGCGGGAUGACGGCCUUCGGGUUGUAAACCGCUUUCGCCUGUGACGAAGCGUGAGUGACGGUAAUGGGUAAAGAAGCACCGGCUAACUACGUG
This 468-nucleotide ribosomal RNA is filed under the name uncultured bacterium. RNAcentral's name for it is "partial 16S ribosomal RNA". It matches the Rfam family "Bacterial small subunit ribosomal RNA", at positions 28 to 507 of the family's 1533-position model. The record is from RNAcentral.